This 259-nucleotide ribosomal RNA is filed under the name uncultured archaeon. RNAcentral's name for it is "partial 16S ribosomal RNA". It matches the Rfam family "Archaeal small subunit ribosomal RNA", at positions 748 to 1006 of the family's 1478-position model. The record is from RNAcentral.
CAGCCGUAAACUAUGCGCGUUAGGUGUACUGGUGACCACGAGUCACCGGGUGCCGAAGGGAAACCGUGAAACGUGCCGCCUGGGAAGUACGGUCGCAAGGCUGAAACUUAAAGGAAUUGGCGGGGGGAGGCACCACAACGGGUGGAGCCUGCGGUUUAAUUGGACUCAACGCCGGAAAUCUCACCGGAUAGGACAGACAUAUGAUAGUCGGGCUGAAGACUCUACUUGAUUUUCAGAGAGGAGGUGCAUGGCGUAGACG